GCCCGCUCCGCACUGCACCC
Molecule: microRNA, 20 nt
Filed under: Macrophomina phaseolina MS6
Lineage: Eukaryota; Fungi; Ascomycota; Dothideomycetes; Botryosphaeriales; Botryosphaeriaceae
Description: miR-4018a-3p
Source: RNAcentral